UCCGGCCGUCGGGAGGAGGCUGUGGGCUGGAUGGGGGAGAUCUCUGGUAGGAAUUCAGUCCCCGGGAGGAGGUGUCCCUUACCGGGACUCGCCAGCCUGCGUUCCCGCGCGGUGCUCCGCGGGUGCAUAUGAAGUGUAUAUAAACAUCUGUGAUGCAGGUUCAAUGUCUUCAUCUCCGCCCAUGUUUGUAGAAAGGCAUGAGAACACCUACAAACAUCGUGGGACGGACAGGGCUGCUGCAUUAUUUAUUUAUCUUCCCGAAGUCGAUUUUGAUCACAUAGGCAGCUGCAAGCUGGUGCUGCUAUCGUCUUUCCCUCAGCUCCACAGCACCUGCCUCCUUUGGGAAACGAUGAAAAGGUGCAGUCUUCAUGGUGCACAUCACAGCGGAACCACCUGCUGUGACUGGCAGCAAUCGCUAGUCUAGCUGUGCACCACAAGACCAGGCUGAAUGAACCUCUGUGUUUCUAAAGGAAAAACAAACUCAUUUUGAAAAUUGUUCAGUAAUUUUAUUAUUUUAU
Pogoniulus pusillus (Red-fronted tinkerbird) is the source of this 518-nucleotide long non-coding RNA. RefSeq lists it as uncharacterized. The transcript is spliced from 2 exons. The record is from RefSeq and is a predicted model, not a curated record. NCBI's taxonomy places the organism in Eukaryota, Metazoa, Chordata, Aves, Piciformes, Lybiidae.